Long non-coding RNA from Neofelis nebulosa (Clouded leopard), 5914 nucleotides. RefSeq lists it as uncharacterized. The record is from RefSeq and is a predicted model, not a curated record. NCBI's taxonomy places the organism in Eukaryota, Metazoa, Chordata, Mammalia, Carnivora, Felidae. The transcript is spliced from 2 exons.
GGGGCUGGGGGUCUGCAGCCCAGGGAGGAGACAGCUGGACAUGGGGUGGAGGAAAGAGGGGGUGGGACAGACGGGGCCAGGGCGCUUCACCGGCUCCCGGGAGGCCAGACCAGGUUUCCUCUGUGCGGCCAGAGGCUAUUCUGGGGUUUCUCCGAAAAACCUGACCUCCCUUCCACUCAGAACAGCAAAGCUGGCUCUCAGGGGAGCCUCGUGGCCAGGCUGUUCGGUGACAAGAUGUCUCAGCGGCACACACACCUGCGUACGUGUGCUGAGCCCUCACACACACCCCGACACGUCCGGCGAGCGCCUCCCUGCUCCCCCCACCCACCGGCAGUGGGCACAGGGCUGGCAGGUGCUGGUCGGAGCCCCGUGGGCUGAGGGGCGCCUCCCGUCCCUGCCUCCGGCCCCCCUGCACCGGGGAGGGUCGCAGAUGGGCUCCCACCUAAUUGCCCCCGCCCCCCUGCACGGCCCCCGGAGUCACGUGGGCACACGCCUGCCUGACGGAUCCGAGCAGGUGGGGUGCGCCCGGCCCCGCCCGCUCGGCUCUGGGCCUGACUGGGUAUCCGAAGCCUCCGGGACUUACCCCGCUGAGGCCCAGGCCAGCUGCUGAGGCCGCAAGAUUUGUGCUGACGGACGGGAUGGCUCCGGCGGGCACAAGACCAGCGGGCCUCGGGGACAGGGGCGCAGCAAAAGCUGGCCCCAGGUCUGGGGGCGUGGCCCGCCUCUGCCCUGGCUGCUUGCUCCGCCCGCUGGCUCCAGGCUUGGUGAUGAGGAGGAAAGACUUUCCCACCCCUUCCCUCGAAGAUGUCAAACUACCACAGGAGUCCGAAGUACGACAGCUCUUCCGUGACACUCGUCACAUCUAUGAGCCCAAACGACACGUGAGGAAGUCAGUGGGGACCGAGAGCAAGACCGGGUCGGGCGCCAGGAGCAGGACGGCCUGACGGCUGAUUUCACGGCUCUCGCCAGGGCCGCGGUGCCCAGAGUUGUCCAGACACUGGUGAGGUGUUGCCGUGAAGGGUUUUUUCAUAUAUAUUGAUUACAGUGGUGAAGCUAAUGUAAAGUAGCACUCGGAAAGGGGAACUGACAUUCAUUAAACAUCUAUCACAGACCACGAUCUUUUUUUUUUUUUUAAUUUGUGGCAACCACACACCUACACACAAGCACGCACAUAAAAAUUUCCAUCCUAACCGUUUGUGAGUGCACAGCUCAGGGGCAUUGAAAAUUGAGCACAUUCACACUGCUGUGCAACCAUCCCCACUGUCCAUCUCCAGAACUUUCCAUCUUCCCAAACUGAAACUCCCCAUUAAACACUAACCCCCCAGCCCCUGGCGCCCACCAUCGACCGAUCUCCAUGGAUCUGACUCCUGCAGGCCCUUCAUAUAAGUGGACUCAUUCAGGAUUUGUCCUUUCGGACGGGCUUGCUUCACAAAGCAUGAUGUCUUCAGGGUCCAUCCAUGCUGAAGCAGGUGCCAGCAUUUCCUCCUUUUUAAGGUGGAAUAACAUUCCACUGGACAGAAAGAACACGAAGCUUUCCUAGGUGUGAUUAACAUUUAAAUCAGCAGAUGACCCUCGUCAUGUGGGUGGGCCUCAUCCGAUCAGUUGAAGGCCUUAAGAGAAAAGACUGAGCUCCCCAGAGGAGGAGGGAAUUCUUCUCCGGAGGGCCUCUGGGUUCGAGCUGCAACAUCAGCUCCUUCCUGGGUCUCCAGCUGCACUCGCCAACCCCACAGUCGCCACAACUGGAGCCCAUUCCUCAAAAUAAAUCACCCCUGUCCCUCACUUUCUCCCUGCCACCCACCCCUAGUGGUCUGUUUUUCUGGAGAUCCCCGGCUGAUACAGAAGGCCAUCGAGGGCAGUGCGUUCCAAGAACCUGGGCACCUGUGCACGUGCCCCCGGGGCCAUCCUCCGACUGCAGGGCACACGGUGUUUCCUCCAGGCAGGUCCGGAAGGGAGGCUCAGGCACCUGCAGGGAGCAGCUGAACUCACAGACUGAAAACCCAGGCCAGGUCGUGGUGAAAGACUGCAUGUGCUUCCCCAGUGACCCCUUCCUCGAAGAGAGAGGCCCGUAGACUUCUCCGGGGUCCCCGGGGUCCUCCGGGGUCCCCGGUGGGAAGACGCCACGAGGCCCCCCACCCCUCCGAGGCAGCCUCAGGGGCGGACCAGCUGUGCCGCCGCGGGGCCCAGGUGGAGCCUCGGAAGGGGUUACCGCUCCCGAGUCCACAUGGCUGGCCUGAGGCUUCCUGCUGCACAGCCGACUUCCCUCACCCGAUCCUGCCCCCUCCCUGCCUCUGGGACUGACCCCUGUGCGUAGCGUGAACGCAAACCCCAUCCCGGGGUCGGCUUCCUGAGGGCCCACUCCGCAACUAGAAGGGGUAUUGGAAAUGGAUUCCUCGCCGCCCGGCUGCAACGAGGUGCCGCUGGGGUCGGGCACACACACGCCUCCCUAGUGGCCCACCCGCCCCAGCUGUCACUGUGGCGAUCGGGCAGGAUGGGCCAGAGACCAGGUGGCCGCUGCCCAGCCCCUGACCGUUGUCAGAACCUCGACAGGGAAAGCUGGGACCUCGCCGUGUGGGUGGAGGACAUCCAGGUGGGUGUCCUUCGGGACAUUCUGCCUCUGCAGGGUUUGCUCACCUCUCCCUGGGAAGAGCUGCACCCCCGCCCCCCGCCGAAAUAGAAUGCGGAGGCCUCAUCAUCCCCGCCCCCCCUUGCCAAUCCCCGGCAACAUUUGUCCCCUUCAGGACAUCCACCUCCGCUCCUGGCCACUGGGCUGACACCCAGGGUUAAAUUGCAGCAUAACCGGGCUGGGGAUGAGCUGGAUCUGACAGCUCAAGGACAGCGGAGGAUGAAGAGACCGAUGGGCUGUGUUGGCAGGAGCCGGGGACACGGGCAGCCCCCGCGGCCCCGCUGAGGGGCCGGAGCACGAGCCAGGCAGGUGUGAGACCCUACACGUACCAAGGGUUCUCAAAGCCCCCUUUCUUCUUGCGGCUCCUGCCUGAGGCUUCCUGAGCCAGCACAGGGCAGGCCACAGUCUGGAACCCACACGCUGCACGGUGCCUGCAGCCAGCCCCCUCGCCCACCGGCAACGGCGUGCACCCGUGACACGUCUCCCCUGGGUCCCAGUGUGCUGAGUACGGUUGCCCAGGAGUGCCCCCUCCCCACCCCCUCUUACCUCAUACGCCCAAGAAAAAUUCCGUGCCCUAGUCUUGAGUCUUUGUUUCAGGGUCCACAAGGGGAGCCUGGACCAGGGGAGUAAAAACAAGCCAGCCCCGGACCAUCAACCGUGGCAGGUGGUCAGGAAUGCAAGUGUAAGAUCCCAGGCCUGUUCAGGAAUGGCCAGCGCCGGCGACUGAGGACAGAAGACAGAAGCCUGAGAAAAGCAGCAUAACUUGAAAGCAGAAAGUAAUGUCAUACAAGUAAACCGAGCCACCUGACAGAGCUCCCGGGGGCCAGUGCUGGAACAAUGAGAGCAAGAAAUGAAUCAAGCAGGAUCGGAUUAUAACCGCAUAUAUCCAUUGUGCACGGAAGCAUGACACCAACAGACCGGAAGAAAAUACCCACAAACCCCAUCUCUGAUGAGGGAUUCGUGUCCAGAAUACGUAAGGGAUUCCUACAACUCGGGGCGCCUGGCUGGCUCAGUCGGCAGAGCAUGUGACCCUUCCUCUCAGGGUCACGAGUUCAAGCCCCACAUCGGGUAUGGAGUCUACUUUAAGAAAAUACGUUAAAAAAAAAAAAAAAGCAUUCCUACACCUCAACAACAACAGAAAUAAACAACCCAAUUAAAAAUGGGCAAAGGACUUGCAUAGACAUUUUUCCAACAGGAGAUCCACACGUGGCAAAGAAGCACACGGAAAGCUCACUGUCACUAAUCAUUAGGAAAAUGCAACUCAAAACCACAGUGACUUAUCCCUUCCCACCCAAUAGGAUGGCUAUUCUCAAAAAACAGAGAGCGACAAGGGUUAGGGAAGAGGCGGAGAGAUCGGGACCCUGUGCGCAGACAGACGGUGGGAAUGUGAAAUGGCUGCGUGGAAAAGUCUGGCGAGUCCUCAGAAAAGUAGACGUAGGAUGACCACGCGAUCCACAUAUGUACACAAGAGAACUUCGAGCAGGGGGAUCCACGUCCGCCUGGUUCAUAGCAGCAUUAUUCACGAUACAUAAAAGGUGGACACAACCCAAAGCACCCCAAGGGAGGGAUGGAUGGAUGGAGAAACGAAACAUAGUGUAUACAUAUGUGAUAAUAAAAAUUAUGCGUCAGCUCCACUGGGCUAAGGGCCCCCAGACAGCGGUGAAGCAGUAUUUCUGGACGCGUCUGUGAGGGCGUCUCUGGAAGAGAUAAGCGUUUGGUUCUGUAAGCUGACUGUCCUCACCAAGCCAGGUGGGCCUUGUCCAGUCUGGUGAGGGCCCAAACAGAACGAAAAAGACAGAGGAAGGGUGAGUUUGCUCUCUGCCUGCCUGGAACGUCCUGCCUCUCUGGCCUUCGGACUCAGACUGAAUCACCACGGGCUCUCCCGGGUCCGCAGCCCGCAGAGGGCAGAGGGUGGGACACCGUGGCCUGCACAGCUGCGUGGAUCAGUUCCUGCGAUCAGUGUCCUCAGCUCAGUGUGCGUGUGUGCGUGCACGUGCAUGUGUGUGCGUGCACGUGUGUGCAUGUGUGCGUGUGUGCAUGUGAGUGCGUGUGUGCGUGCGUGCGUGUGUGUCCUGUUUCUCUGGAGAACCCGCGUAGAAUGUACAAUGGAAUUAUUCAGCCAUAAAAAGGAAGAAAAUGCUGGCAGCUGCUACAACGUGGAUGCACCUGGAAGACACUAUACUCAAUGAAACAAGCCAGUCACAAAGGACAAAUACUAAGAGAACAUCCAGAUGGCCAACAGACAAAUGAAAAGAUGCCCAACGUCAUUAGUCAUCAGGGAAAUGCAAAUCAAAACCACAAUGAGAUGUCACCUCACACCUGUCAGAACGGUAGAAUCAAAAACACAGAUGGGGCACCUGGGUGGCUCAGUGGGUCGAGCCUCUGACUUCAGCUCAGGUCGUGAUCUCACGUUCAUGAGUUCGUGCCCCGUGUCGGGCUCUGUGCUGUCAGUUCGGAGUCUGGAGCUGCUUCGGAUUCUGUGUCUUGCCCUCUCUCUGUCCCUCCCCCACUCACGUUCUGUCUCUCUCUGUCUCUCAAAAAAUGAAUAAACGUUAAAAAUUUUUUUUUAAUAUUUUACCACUACAAUAAACAUAAAUAUUGAUGAGUCCAUAUUGGUAUAAGUGAUUCAUAAAUAAAUGGGGGAGAAGAGCCACCUCUCCCAUACAGAAUUCCAAAUAAUUCAUGUAGUUAUUCUAGCCUCACAGAGUGGGGGACACAACCCAGGCCCCAACAGUGACUUCCCUCCACAGAGUAUGGAAACGGAGAACCAGGUGCUGCCCCCCUCAGGUGAUCAAGGUCAACAUGGCAGCGAUGAGUCACCCCCAAUAUGAUGUGGCGAGAGGGCACUGCACCCCCGCUGUGGUCCUCCUGAAACCCACACCCCCAGUCUAAUCAUGAGACAGCACCGGACAAAUCUCAGGAGGGGCACAUUCUACAAAGUGUCCUGACCAGCGCUCUUGAAAACUGUCAAGGACAUUAAAAUAAAGAGAAAGUCUGAGAAACUGUCACAGCCCAGAGGAGCCCAAGGAGAUGUGAUGACUUCAUGCGGGAUGGGAUCCUGGGACAUAAGGAGGACGUUUGUUAAAAACCAAGGAAAACUGAAUAAAGCAAGGACUUUAGUUAAGAAUAGUAUGUAAAUACUGGUUGAUGGUGACAAAGUCAAAUGUACCAUGCUAGUAAGAUAGUCCUAUCAUAGGUGUGAAGUGUGAAGUGCAUGGGAACUCUGUACUCUCAGCAAUUUUUCUGUAAAUCUAAAACUGUUCUAAAAAUAAAGUUUAUUUUUUUAAUGUU